AAUAAAUAAUCUAGUGAUAUUAAUAUUUCCUUAGUCAUAUUUCUAAGAUUAACUACUUAACUUAUCCAUAUUUUAUUAGUUUUAAAUAAAUUUCAUCAUUUUUAUUUUGUUUAAAUUAUUACUAAAAAGAAAAAAAAAAAAGAUAAAGUCAAAUCCUAAAAUCUACCCAACUCCCACGUUUCCCAAUUAUCCUACACCUCCUCUCCCACGUUCCCCACUAUUACCCAACACAAUAUAACACACACAAACACACAUACAUCAUUAUAUAUAUCAUGUACACACGGACAACACAGUGGAGGCACGGAUGAGAGAAAAGGAAAACAAAAGCAAAAAAAAAAAAAAAAAGGAAUAAGUGAGAAAAAGAUUGAAAAAAUAAAGAAAAAUCAAAGGAGAAGAGGAAAAGAAAUUUGGGUUUGGAGUUUAGGAUCUCUGUUUGAGUUUUUUGGUUCGACAUAAAAGCUUCCCUUUUGAUUUAAUUCGUCAUACAGGUACACUGACUCGGCCUACAUAUAUUGUGGAAAAUAAUGAUGAUGUAGCUGAUAAUGAAGUGUGUGGAUCAGACAGUGAUGAACCUUCAGAAUAUGAAUCAAUGGAUGAUGUUGAAACGUCUGAUGAUGAUAAUAUAAUUGGAGAAGAUGCAGCUCUGGUUGCUCGUAGUGUUAGUCAUCCAUCAAUAGAAAUUCCAUAUUUGGAUAAUACCGAAGAAAGCGCAGGAGAUUUUGCGUACACAUGUGAUGAUAGUUUCAAUCAAGCUACUCUUUGGAAUUUAAAGAAUCCGGAAUUCAUUCAAACAGGUAUGUUAUUCACAAAUAAAAAACAAAUGAAAGUUGUUGUGAGAAUGUUUAGUCUUAAAAAAAGAAAGGAGUAUAUUUGUGAUAGAUCCAAAAGUAAGAGCUGGAGGAUUAUGUGCAAGCGUUACAUAUUUGGGAUGCAAUGGAUGAUUCGCUUUCGAGAGAUUUCAGGUGGUAUGUGGAAAGCAGGAAAAUGAUACAACCACAUACUUGUCUGACUGAUAACUACAAGAAAGAUCAUUUCAAUCUAAACAUCAAUAUGAUUGUUGUUAGGUUGGUACCACAUAUUAUGCAGAGCCCGAAUAUCAGUAUUAAGGCGGUUCGAGAAGUCAUCAAGUCAAAGCAUUAUUUUACUCUCAGUUAUAGAAAAGCUCAAAGAGGUCGAAAAAAAGCAUUUGUGAUGGUAUAUGGAGAUUUUGAAAGUUCUUUCAAAGCAUUACCUCGCUACAUGACUUCACUACAAUAUUUCAAUCCCGGUACUGUUGUUGAAUGGGAGCACUAUUCUUAAACAAUGCAGGGUAAGAAAAUAUUUAAAUUUUUAUUUUGGAAUUUUAAACCGAGCAUUGAUGGUUUCAAAUACCGCAGGCCCGUCAUUUCAAUAGACGGUACCCAUCUUUAUGGUUUGUACAAUUUGAAACUAUUAAUUGCUGUUGGGAUUGAUACUAAUGGUAAUAUUCUUCCGCUUGUAUAUGCUCUUGUUGCACGUGAAAGUUUUGAAUCAUGGUCAUGGUUUCUUAAGUUAUUAUGGAGGCAUGUUAUCGGUGAGAGAAAAAAAAUGGUUUCAUUUCCGACCGUCAUAAAAGAAUAUUACAAUGUGUUCAGUCUUAUGAUUGGUUGAGUCCACCAAACACUUUUCAUAGAUUUUGUGUUCGACACUUGAAAGUCAAUUUUAAUUAAAAAAAAUUGAAUAGAGAGAUCGAGAACUUAAUGUGGUCGGCUUCCACGGAGCAUCAAGAAAGGAAGUUUUUUCAAAGAAUGGAACAAAUUAAGAUAUUGUCCCCUGCAACAUAUAUGUGGUUAGAUAAAUUUUCGCUAGAUAAAUGGACAAUGUAUAAGGAUGAUGGUCGUAGAUGGGGUGCCAUGACAACAAAUGUAUCCGAGUCAUAUAAUGGUUUGUUGAAGAAAGUUCGGGGGCUUCCAGUGACUGCUAUGGUUUGCAUGACUUUUAAAGCUCUUAUUGACCGUUUUGUGGAACGAAGCAAUCUUGCUGAUGCUUUAUUACAAAAUAAUAAUCUAUGGCCUCCUGCCGUUGAAAACAAAUUCUUAGAUUAUUGGGAUAGAGCGCAAUCGCACUGACAUGAUGACUUGUCAAACUGGUGAUGGGGUAUUUGAGAUUCUUACUUUUGCAUGUGAUGGUAAGGGUGGAAAUGUCCACACAGUUACUGCCAAGAAAAAAAUAUGUUCUUUUGAAAAAUGGAAGAAUUAUCACAUGCCAUGCUCACAUUGUAUUAAGUUUUGUGGCAUUCGUGGCAUCGAACCUAAUACAUAUGUUAGCAAGUACUACAGCAUCAAGCUAUACAAACAAACGUAUAGUGGUAAAAUUUACCCCGUGAGUAAUGAACGAUAUUGGCCGCCAGCCCCAUUUGCUUUAGUUGCAAACGUUGAAUAUAUGCGGACAUCUGGUGUUGAAGAAAGAACCCGACUUAAGAAUGAUAUGGAUAUUGCUCCAACUCGCAUGGCUAGAAAGUGUAGUAUUUGCAA
Capsicum annuum is the source of this 2492-nucleotide long non-coding RNA. RefSeq lists it as uncharacterized. The record is from RefSeq and is a predicted model, not a curated record. NCBI's taxonomy places the organism in Eukaryota, Viridiplantae, Streptophyta, Magnoliopsida, Solanales, Solanaceae. The transcript is spliced from 3 exons.